UGGGGAAUAUUGCACAAUGGGCGCAAGCCUGAUGCAGCCAUGCCGCGUGUAUGAAGAAGGCCUUCGGGUUGUAAAGUACUCUCAGCGGGGAGGAAGGGAGUAAAGUUAAUACCUUUGCCCAUUGACGUUACCCGCAGAAGAAGCACCGGCUAACUCCGUGCCAGCAGCCGCGGUAAUACGGAGGGUGCAAGCGUUAAUCGGAAUUACUGGGCGUAAAGCGCACGCAGGCGGUUUGUUAAGUCAGAUGUGAAAUCCCCGGGCUCAACCUGGGAACUGCGUAUGUUACUGGGAAGCUUGAGUCUCGUAGAGGGGGGUAGAAUUCCAGGUGUAGCGGUGAAAUGCGUAGAGAUCUGGAGGAGUACCGAUGGCGAAGGCGGCCCCCUAGACGAAGACUGACGCUCAGGUGCGAAAGCGUGGGGAGCAAACAGG
This 429-nucleotide ribosomal RNA is filed under the name Chloroflexota bacterium. Its description in RNAcentral is "Chloroflexi bacterium partial 16S ribosomal RNA". It matches the Rfam family "Bacterial small subunit ribosomal RNA", at positions 355 to 776 of the family's 1533-position model. Lineage: Bacteria; Bacillati; Chloroflexota. The record is from RNAcentral.